UCACUCUUUUGUUUCAUCACAAACAUUAUCCACUUCAGAAAGACAUUGUCCACAUAUUAUGUAUCAAGUCGAUAACAGCUUUAAGUACUUAUAUCAGAUGAAGCAAAUUGCUCAUAAAAAUGGCUUCUGCAUUUUCUCAGUCUUAUGUUUUAGACUGCUUUGGAAAGCCAAAAAAAACCUCUCUUUAUUCCACAGAAUUUCAAAACAAACAAAAAAUAGACAUCUCAUCAGGUAAAAAAAGAAUUCAACUCUCCUUGAUAAAAUCCAUAUCAAAAUCCGUCACAAAACGAAGAACACAUAAUAGGACUGACGAUGCACAACAACUGGUUGACAAUAUGUCUCAACGAGAUGCAGUAUUGUGGUAUAUUCAGAAUGGCAAUCUAAGGGAAUCUUUAAAACUCUUUCGACGAAUACAGCAGCUUGAAAAUGUUCCAGUUCCAGAACAGUUGAAACAAAUCCAUGGUGUUAUUCUUAAAAGCGGCCAAGAUAUAGAUGUUUAUACAGGCAGUAGGCUUAUUGAUCUGUAUGCAAAAUCUCAAUUAAUAGAGGAUGCGCGCAAGGUAUUUGACAAAAUGCCUGAACGGAAUUUGGUCUCAUGGAACACCAUGGUUGCAGCUUAUAUCACUUGCAAUUGCAAGGAAAUGGCGUUAAUGUUUAUUCAGGAAAUGCAGCAGGCUAAUGUUCCAGUAGAUGAGUUUACAGUGGCUACUGUUCUCGGCGCGUGCUCAAGUUUGUUAGCUCUGGACCAAGGCUUGCAAGCCCAUGCUCACAUUGUCAAAGCUGGAUUUGGGGUGGAUGCCUACAUAGCCACUGCUCUUAUUGAUAUGUAUGCCAAAUGUAAUUGUGUAGAAGGAUUUCGCAAGGUGAUUGACGAAAGGAAGGAUCCCAGUCUGGUGAAUUGGACAGCUCUGAUAUCAGGAUAUACUCAAAAUGGACUACCGGGGAAGGCAAUUGAGGUUUUUAAUCAAAUUCUUAGGUUGGGAAUUAUGCCAAACGCAUUCAUGCUUGUAAGAGUUCUGAGGGCAUCAGGUGGCCUAGAAGCAAUAGGACAUGGCUUGCAAGUCCAUGGUUAUAUUGUUAAAUUUGGGGUGUUCUCGGAUGUUGAUGUGGGGAACGCUCUUCUUGACAUGUAUGUUAAGUGUGGCGAUAUAGAUUCUGCACAUACAGUCUUUGGAAAAAUGCAGAGACGGGACAUAGUAUCAUGGAAUUCAAUGCUAGCAGGAUAUGUACAGAAUGGAAAAGGAGAUAGCGCUGGAAAACUCUUCCAGGGAAUGAAAUUAGAAUGUCUCCAGCCUGAUCAGUACACUUAUGCCUCUUUUCUCCAAGCAUGUGCAACCUCGGAGAACCAUAAAGUUGGAAUGGGAAUACACGGUGAAAUAAUCAAAUCUGGGUAUGAGACUAGCAUCUUUGCUAGCAGCGCUCUUGUUGAUAUGUAUUGCAAGUGUGACAUGGUGCAAGAUGCACGCUAUGUUUUUGACAGAAUGCCUGAGAGAAAUAUUGUAUCGUGGGCUGCAAUGAUUUCAGGGUAUGCUCAAAACGCAUAUGGUGAGGAGGCCUUGAAACUUGUUUGCCUAAUGUUAGGGACAUGCAUAUAUCCUGAGCAAUAUACCUUUACUAGUGUUCUUGUUGCCUGUUCCUCUCUAGCAUCCUUGGAAUACUGCAAGAUGGUUCAUGCUCACAUAAUGAGAACAGGGUUUGACUCUAAUCUUUCUGUACAGAAUGCCCUUGUUGAUGCAUAUAGUAAAUGUGGCAGUUUAGCUGAUGCAUUGUAUGUUUUUAAUGCAAUGCCUGCAAGGGAUAUUAUAUCAUGGAAUGCAAUGAUAGCUGGAUUUGUGCAGAAUGGUAGUUUCUUGGAGGCUCUGAAACUAUUCUAUCAAAUACAGUUUACAGAUAUUGAACCAGAUGAAUUCACCUUCCCUAGUGUUAUGAGGGCAUGUGCUAGCCUAGCAGAUCUGAAGCAAGGAAAAUCCAUUCACAAUUACAUCAUCAAAAAUGGAAGUGAGUCAAAUAUCUGGGUGGGAACUUCCCUUCUUGAUAUGUAUAUGAAGUGUAGGAGCAUUGGAUAUGCAUGCAUGGUUUUUAAGAGAAUGCCUGAAUGGAAUAUUAUUUCAUGGAAUGCCAUGAUUGAAGGAUAUAUCCAGAAUGGGCUAGGUGAGGAGGCACUGAAACUAUUAAGGCAAAUGCUACGGGCUGGCACACAGCCAGAUCAGUUCAAUCUUGCCAGUAUUCUUAAUGCUUGUGCCAGCUUAGCAGCCCUGGAAAUUGGAAAGCAGGUCCAUUCUUUUAUUAUCCAAAAAGGAUUUGACGUAGAUAUCUGUGUGGGGAAUGCCAUUAUUGACAUGUAUGCCAAGUGUGGAAGUUUGGUGGAUGCACAAAAAGCGUUUGUCAAAAUAUAUAAAAGAGAUGUUGCCUCCUGGAAUGCGAUGAUGGGUGGAUAUGCACAGCAUGGUUAUGGGAAGGAGGCUGUUGAACUCUUUGAACAAAUGCAACAAGAAGGUGUGAAGCCAAAUCAUAUUACUUUUGUAUGUGUUCUUUCUGCAUGUAGCAAUGCUGGACUAUUGCAUAAAGGUUGUCGCCUAUUUGAUUCCAUCCUGCUAGAUCAUGACAUCACUUUAACAAUGGAGCAUUAUGCAUGUAUGGUUGAUCUUCUUGGCCGUGCUGGUCAGCUGGGUGAGGCAGAAGAACUCAUCAACAAUAUGCCCUUUGAGCCUAGUGCUUUAGUUUGGCGAACCUUACUUGCUGCCUGCAGAAUCCAUGGGGAUAUUGAAUUAGGAAAACGUGCAGCAGAACAUGUUCUGAGGAUAGAACCACAAGACUCUGCAGCAUAUGUGCUCUUAUCUAAUAUCUAUGCUGCAUCUGGCAGGUGGGAUCAUCUUACAAGUGUGAGAAAAUCAAUGAAAGAAAGGGGUGUGAAAAAGGAACCAGGACUCAGCUGGAUUGAAGUAAAAGGAAGGGUGCAUUCUUUUACGGUCAUGGACAGAUCACACAUACAGACAGAGGAAAUAUACAGGAAGCUGGAAAUAUUAAUGGAGUUGAUAAAGGGAGCAGGUUAUGUCCCUAACACAAAUUUUGUGCUGCACGAUGUCGAGGAGGAACAAAAAGAAAAAUUAUUAUCAUAUCAUAGUGAGAAGCUGGCCAUUGCAUUUGGGCUUAUUAGCAUCCCACAGGGAAUGCCUAUUAGAAUUAUCAAGAAUCUUCGUAUAUGUGGUGAUUGCCAUACGGCUGCCAAACUCAUUUCUAGGAUUGCAAAGCGAGAACUUUUCUUAAGAGAUGCUAAUCGCUAUCAUCAUUUCAAAGAUGGGAUGUGUUCUUGUGGGGAUUAUUGGUGAUAAUAAAAAACAAACAAUGAACAUACAUGUGAUCCUAUACCUUACCUCUGACUCAGGCUAAUGACCUGUUUCAGCUUUGGAAGCAGGCUGUUUUAUCUCGGUAGCACUGUCAUCUUGUCAGCACUGGGUCUUUGGUAGUAGCUUCUGAUGACUGCAGUAGCAAGUCACUUUGAUAACACUUUCAUCUUCAGCAGCAAUCUGUGUGUGACAUUAGCAUCACUAUAACUUCAACAGCAUCUGGGAUGAUGUCAGCAGCAAUUACAAUUUUGAUAGCAUCUGAGACCACUUCAGUGGCAAGGUGUCUCGCUGGUGGUGCUGUCUUCUGGAAACCAUUGGAGUUCCUAAGUGUUGAAGAAUAGCGUCAGUCAGUAAUCUGAUCUGACUGAGUCAUUUAACAAAUUAAUUUACUAAUGAAUAUUCAUUGUAUUUGAAUCAACUAUUAUAUAAUUUGAUUCUCUGAGAUAAUCAACAUGUAUCGAUUAAUAUAUUAAUCAAUUCUAUGUAAGGUGUAUUACAUAUGAAUCGAUUCAUAUAUUAAUCGAUUCUAUGUAAUGUCUAAGUAUGAAUUAGUUUCUUGUUAAUCCAUGUUAACUAACUAAUCUAUGACGUGUGAUUACAUGAAACGAUUCAAUGAUCAAAACCGUAUUAUCUUCUUGCUUUAGACGUGUUAUGUCUAAAUGAUUUUAUGGAGAGAGACAUGAUGGUUGGGAGAUGUGAUGAUUAAGAGGAUCGUGUUGAUUGGUUUAGACAUCGUUUUCUUAUAUUAGUCCGAUCUCUCUGUCUCUCUCCAUUCAAAAAAAAAAACAAGAAUCGUAGAAGAUAGAAGUAUAACUUUAUAGUUCCACAUCUAUAUAUUCGAAUUGUCCAGCAUCAUUAGCAGUUCUGAUUUUCUGUCAUCGUUUUACACCAUCAUCAUUCAGAUUAAAUUGCAUCAUCUUUCAGUCUGCCUUACACAGUAAUCAAUCAGAUUGAAUUCCCUCUCUUGUGCUGUGAUUAAUCUGUAUCUGUCUGUAAGGCAGUUUCAAAUUAAAAUCUGAUCUCCAUAACUUAACACUAAGUAAUUGUAAUAACAGUUGGGCUGUUACACUAGGCAAAAAUGAUAUUUGAUGAUGACAGAAAGAGGAAAAACAAUUAGGCACUUAUGGUGGGAUUCCAAAAGAGAAUGAAACUACUCGUCUUCUUGUGCAGAGACAACAAAUGUAGAACCAUGGAACAGGAAAGAGAGAAAGGGGCAGAGAGUAGGCUCUAGAUGAGAUUCGCAGAACAUUUGCUCAGCAAAGGGAAAAGGAUUGGGAAAAGAGGGAAGAGCUCAUGAGGUUGUCUAGAGAUUGGCCAUUGAAGGGGCCUGCAAGCAAUGGUCUGUGCGCAGAUUUGUGUGUGGAUUUGAAGCAUCACUAUGGUGUUGAUAGUUGUUGUAAGCUAUAGUUAGUUGAGCAUGUGGGGUUGUGUGCUGAGGCUUCUUUUCAACCUAUUUGUAACCCUGUGAGGACAUUAUACUAUCUAAUGAAAAAUAACAUUGUUUUUGCUUAUGUUUGGCAUUUAAUCUGUUGUUGUGUAUGGCUGCUAGGAUAGGCUAAGGUUAUCUUUCAUCGGAUACCCUUGCUAGAUUGCACCACUCUUUUGGCAUCUUUGCUUCAAGAAUGCAGACCUCUAUUCAAGUUUGUGAAGCUAGUAGUAUGUGGCAUGUGCUUUAUCUUAUCUUGCUUAUUAUUUUGUUUUCUUGUUUAUUCCAUAUCUUUCCUAGUUGAUGGUCUCUGUAUUUGUUCCUUGAGAAGAGCUUCUUUGUGUCUGCAAAAGCAAAAAAUCUCUUAUAGUUGUAAAACCCUCUAAGCUAAUCUUCUAUCCUUGCUCAAAUGUAGCUUGGUAGUAUUUUUUUGGUUUUGCCAUAUAUUGAUAUAUGUGAUUUCUUCAUUUUCACAAUCAUGAUUGGACACUGAAGGCACUUUUCUUGAGGUACUUUCUGCCUGCAUUAACUACUUUAUGAUUCCAUCCUAAAAUAACUAGUCAGCCUUAGGAUGUUUCCUGCCAUAGGAAGACACUUAAAUUUUUUUUACCAGCUAUAUUGACAAAUCUGAAAUCUCUCUUUGUAAUUUUAAACAAUCUUUAACUUUUAUAGGGUCCUGAUCUAGUUUCCAAACAGGCUCUCCACGUUUUUUCCAUGGUUUCGUUUGACAAUGUGAAACCCAUCCUACAUACUUGGAAUCCCUUGCUGGUCAAUGUAUUGAUUUGUUUGUUAUGUUUAAAUUAAUGUGGAAGUUUGCAAUGGUUAUAUUACUUGAGGAGAAAUUGGGUUUGUGAUCUUCAUUUCUUCUUAAAAUUUCUAGCUGGUUGAAGAGAAGGAAAUUAAAGGAAAUGAAAUAUCCCUGAGGAUUGUGAGAGAAUUUAUGACAUACUUCUAAGUUGCUGGUAGAAACCUUGAACACAUGAAACCCUAGCAAGGCUGUAAAACCAAGGGUUUUGCCCCAGUGGAAUCAAUCUUCGUUUGUAAUUAAGGCAACAAGUGAAAUGGUUUUAUGGGAUGGGUUAUGCCUAUUCCUUGUGAUGCUGUUGUAUUAAGCGAGUGAAAUGGUAUGUUUUUGGGAAGGUGGGAAGGGAGUUUUAAGCUUAUGCCUCUUCCUUGUGAUGCUGUUAUAUUUGACAUGAUUUCCAAAAUAACAUGCUCCAAUAUUACUUACAUGCACAGUGCACAGGUAGAAGAAACAUGAAUAUAUAUGUGAUUGAAAUAUUGAAAAUAGUAGAGAAACAAAACUGAAACUGCAGAGAAACUACACCAUGAAUCACAAAUAAUAAAGUGUUGUAUGAUAUAAUGAUUUCUCAGUGAUUUCAAUACGUUCAUCCACAGUAAUUGGAUUGAUGCAAUCUGGCUUUAUAAACCCAUUAUUUUCCUGUUCAAAACCAACUAACCUUACCUACAGGAAUGUAACUUCCCAAAAACUUACAAUUGUUUUAUUUAUAGAUUAAGUACUAUCUCAUCUAACAUUUAUUUAUUAAUAUUUUUCUACGUAACCGGGGGACGUGUCCCCUUCCUGAAAGCUCCCCUCCCGGUCUCGGGGAUGUUUUGGGGACUUGGGGACAGCCAGGGGACGUUUCCCCCCUGCCCCCAAAAUGUGGGAAUUUGCUGGGGACGUCCUGGAAACGGGGGGACGUUUGCCCCAGCCGUGGGGGAUGUUCAUAUGUCCCGGGGAUGGCUGUGACGUCCCCAAUCCAUCCCGGGGAUGCUUGGAUGUCCCCCACGGCUGGGGCUAGUUAAAAACAUUAAAAAAAUGUCAUAUUUUUAAAUUUUUUUUCCUAACGUGGGCCCCAAAUUAUUUACCCUAAAUCGUUCCAAUUGUUAAAAAUUUAAAAGGCAACGAUAUUAAAUUAUUAAUAUAAGUCUUGAUUAUGUGAUAAUUCAUAAUAUCGUUAACUUAUAUUAAAAUUUAAUAUAAUCUGAAGAUCAAGACAGAUAAAUUAUUAAUAUAAGGCAACAAUAAAUAUUUAUGUUUCAUAUCGGGCCAUAUUUCAUGUUUGACCGUAUGAUAUAUUUAAAAUCUUAAAAGGGAACUAUAUCAAUAUUUCAUCUCUUACCAUAUGAUAUUCAUAUAUUUAAAAGGGAAGGAUAUGCGAUACGGGCGAUAAAAACAAUUAUUUCCAGCAAUAAUUGUUUAAGCAAAGCAAUCAAAUUUUCAACAAAUCCAACAAGUGCUAGCAUAUUGACAACGAAUUUUCAAUUAUGAUUGCAUAUUGAGUAUUGACAAUGAAUUCUGAACUCUGAAUGCAUAUAGAAUGAAUUUUGAACACAAAUGUGGUAUUUUAAGGUUCUAUAAUGUACAUAUAGCUGCUUUAUCCAUGUUUUCAUACGAAUAUAAUGUAUAUAUACAUGCUUUAUCUAUUUUUCAUAUGAAAAUUUAAAUUUCCCUCUAUAUUUUAAAAUUUCCCUAUAUUUUAUAUAGCUGUCCCCUUUGCCGUCCCCCCGCCGUCUCCAAAAUUGGCAAAAGGAUUUGCCGUCCUGGAAACUCGUCCCGCCGUGCCCUGCCGUCCCCUUCCCGGAAACUUGGGGUAACAUAGGUAUUAUUAAUUCCAAUAUGAAAUGUGCAAUGGAAGUGAAAAUUCUUAUGCCACAACUCAUUUGAUUCAGAAUCCUAUUGCUCUGUCAAUGGGGUGUAUAAGACCAAUUAUUUUUGGAAGCAUAUGGGGAAUUUGAGGAUCCUUGAUAUGCAAUUAUACUUGAAGGCUGCCUUCUUCAUCAUAUGGCAAAUAAGAGCACAAUGGCGGUGUGUAUUUUAAACUGUAUUACUUUGGAAAAUUGUUUUAUUUGUUCUGCAUCUUAUGUUUCUUCUUCUGUUCUUUGUGACAAGGUGUGUUGGAAUAUUUGAGCCUUCAUAGGAUUGAGUUGUUAGGGAUGUGAUCUUCUUAUUCUUCUUGAUGGAUAUUUUGUUACUCUUGUAGUUGUUAUUAUAGUAUCCUGUGAUCUGAUUGGUGUCACAAUAUGUACUUGUAUUGUAUGGUGUACUUGUAUUGGAGUCACAAUAUGCACUUGUAUUGUCUGUAUAGCCUGACUUGGCCUAGUGGUGGAGAACUUGUGCCUUGUUUGUAGUGCAAUUAGGUGCCUCACGCAAGUACGAGGUAGUCCCAUAUUGCUUUAACCCAUCUGUAGACCCAUAUACAGAUUGCUGGCAUCAUGGACUAUAAAAGACCCUUUCCUUUCCUUUCCUUUUGUUGUUCCAUGGAAUAUUUGCAUAGAUUUUUUUGGUUUCUUCGCUGGUUAAGAAAGCUUGCUGUCUGGAUUGGUAUGAUUUCAUUUGUAUAGGAGCUUUUGACUCCUUGGACAUCUUAUGCUUCUAUAUUUAGAGCACCUCUAUUGCAUGUUCAUAUACAUAUGGUUGCAUUUCAAAUAUUUGUAAUAUGAUUUGUGGAAGGAAAAAUUAGAGUAUUCAUUGUUGGUUAUGCUCAAAUUUUGUAUGCAUGUGUGUAGUACAGUCCGUCUUAAGAUCAAAUUUGAAGAUUGUUUCAUUGUUUUCUCCAAGGAGUGUACUCUUAGAAAAUAUAGUUUAGCAUCAUCAAUGUAUCCAAAGAAGUAAUUAACUGAUUGUUGAGAGCAGUAAAUAGAUCAUUCUAGCAACAAGUAAUACCAUGCAAGGGCUUUUCCUAGGAGGGUGAGAAAUUAUUUGCAGUUCAAUACCAUAAUAUAGCUUACAAUUAAUGCACACUUGCCAAUGCAAUUGUUUACAUGGACAGUUGGGUUUUCCCUGAAAAUUCUGCAAAAUUUUAGAUAUUUGAGUAUGGAAUAUGGAAAAGAAGCCAACCUAAUGAGUGCUGAGCUCCACUAUUUCACAAUUUACAGAUGGGGCAUGGAAAAGUAGCCAGAAUGACGAGUCGUGUGUUACAUAGUAAAGGGUUGGAAUCUCAGACACUUAUGGCCAUGGUAUUAUGUUGCAAAUGAGGUUAACAAUUGACAUGUGGUCUAAUAGGUAGCUUGUGGAUUAGUUGGUUAAACAAGCAGUCUGAAAGUUAGAUAAUUGGGUGGGAUUUGAUUUGUGUGUUUUAUGACCUCCAUGAGUAGUUGGUACAAUAAUGACAAUGUUUUGUUAUUUAUAUUGGUAAUAAUUACAAGGUAAGGAGACCCACUUAGGACACGCGCACCCUUAAGCAUUUCUUAAUAAGGAGAAAGAACAAUUAACAUAAUCCACUACUUUGGGAAUUUCACCUUCUAGCCUUUUUCCCCACUUGCAAAGCAUUUGGAAUUUGUAUUGCUUAUAAGCCAUCCCUGUGUCAUAACAUUUACCAACGUGGGAUUGACCCUCUUACAACCUGAUCAUGCAGCAACUUACUUUCUCCAUCAAUCGUUAGAUGAAUGGCUACUAAUAGGCAGCUCAUAUUGUUGUAGAGGAACUUGUUGAGUACUAGUUAUAUAGUGAACAUUGUAACUGGGUCAUCAAUUUGACUCUUAAAGUGAGACCCCAUUGACAUUGUUGGCUGUUCUUGAUAUGCUUGCUGAUUCAUACCUGUCUGAAGAACAGGAAAAGGACCCUAGCAUGUGGAAUUGAUACUCUUGAAGAUGUUGAUUCAUCUUGUCAUUGCUUGAAAUGGAAUAAUGAUUCAUCUUCACAACAUUGAGUGAGAAUGAGUACAAUUUGAGAAUGAUAGGAUGACAAAUUUAAAAGCAGGAUAGGAGCAGUAAUGAUGCAACAUAUGCUUAUCUUCUUAUGUUUAAAUAGGUAGUGCUGGGAAAGGUGUGUUGCACACCUUGCUUAAUAAUGUAAUAUUCUUAUUUUGUUGUGGUGCAUCUUAGGAUGCACGUACCACUCUAAGAUAGGCAUUUUUGGAGACACUUGUAAGGUGUAUGGGAAAUUGAACAUACAUUUAAUUUUGAGGGCCUUGAUUUAGUGGCAUGUGGUUUUGGGCUCAUAGUUUUUGCAAUACCAAUUAAUGGUCUUGCGCAAGCAUGGUUUAUAAAAGCAAGCACAUGGGUAGUUGUUUGAGGUAUGCAUUGCAGAGCAUCUGAAGGAGAUUGUAUGUGGUAAGAUCUUGAGGAAGGCAUGGAGUGGAAUGUGUGGCUCCGAUAUGCUUUUGGAUUGAUCACAUGAGGAGUGCAAUUGGGUUGCUUAAUGCUGCCACAUUUCUACACAGAGGACUCUGUAAGCGUAUUGUUAUCACAUUCUAGGGAUAAUACAUUGAGUUUGUGGUGCUUUGAAGGCUGUUUUUUUCCUGAAAAGAUUUUCCAGGGUACAUUCAGUGUCAUCUUUGUGUUUUUUUGCAUUGUGGAUUCUGCAUACUAUUUUGGUGUAGUUUCUCUCAUAAAGGCUAUGUGGAAUUAGCAUUUGUGGCUUGAAACUCCUAAUAGGUAGUAGAGGUAAAUGUCACGCUCUGAUGAUAAUUGAUUUUUUUUGCCAACCCCAGUGUGGAAGAAGUAAAACCUCCAUUAACAUUUGACCAUUCCUAAUCAA
Molecule: RNA transcript, 10255 nt
Organism: Cryptomeria japonica (Japanese cedar)
Lineage: Eukaryota; Viridiplantae; Streptophyta; Pinopsida; Cupressales; Cupressaceae
Gene name: pentatricopeptide repeat-containing protein At2g27610
Exons: 3
Source: RefSeq, a predicted model, not a curated record